Molecule: ribosomal RNA, 543 nt
Filed under: uncultured bacterium
Lineage: Bacteria
Description: bacterial SSU rRNA
Rfam family: Bacterial small subunit ribosomal RNA
Source: RNAcentral
AAUAGAUACCCGGGUAGUCCACGCCGUAAACGAUGAGUGCUAAGUGUUAGGGGGUUUCCGCCCCUUAGUGCUGCAGCUAACGCAUUAAGCACUCCGCCUGGGGAGUACGGUCGCAAGACUGAAACUCAAAGGAAUUGACGGGGGCCCGCACAAGCGGUGGAGCAUGUGGUUUAAUUCGAAGCAACGCGAAGAACCUUACCAGGUCUUGACAUCCCGUUGACCACUGUAGAGAUAUAGUUUCCCCUUCGGGGGCAACGGUGACAGGUGGUGCAUGGUUGUCGUCAGCUCGUGUCGUGAGAUGUUGGGUUAAGUCCCGCAACGAGCGCAACCCUUGAUCUUAGUUGCCAUCAUUUAGUUGGGCACUCUAAGGUGACUGCCGGUGACAAACCGGAGGAAGGUGGGGAUGACGUCAAAUCAUCAUGCCCCUUAUGACCUGGGCUACACACGUGCUACAAUGGACGAUACAAACGGUUGCCAACUCGCGAGAGGGAGCUAAUCCGAUAAAGUCGUUCUCAGUUCGGAUUGUAGGCUGCAACUCGCCUA